CCUACGGGAGGCAGCAGUGGGGAAUAUUGCACAAUGGGGGAAACCCUGAUGCAGCGACGCCGCGUGAGUGAAGAAGUAAUUCGUUACGUAAAGCUCUAUCAGCAGGGAAGAAACACUGACCUUACGGUCAGCAGACGGUACCUGAGUACGAAGCACCGGCUAACUACGUGCCAGCAGCCGCGGUAAUACGUAGGGGGCAAGCGUUAUCCGGAUUUACUGGGUGUAAAGGGAGCGUAGACGGUACGCCAAGUCUGGAGUGAAAUGCCGCAGCUUAACUGCGGAACUGCUUUGGAAACUGGCGAACUAGAGUGCGGGAGGGGUAAGCGGAAUUCCUAGUGUAGCGGUGAAAUGCGUAGAUAUUAGGAGGAACACCGGUGGCGAAGGCGGCUUACUGGACCGUGACUGACGUUGAGGCUCGAAGGCGUGGGGAGCAAACAGGAUUAGAUACCCGAGUAGUC
Molecule: ribosomal RNA, 458 nt
Filed under: uncultured bacterium
Lineage: Bacteria
Description: partial 16S ribosomal RNA
Rfam family: Bacterial small subunit ribosomal RNA
Source: RNAcentral